RNAcentral lists this ribosomal RNA (444 nucleotides) under uncultured bacterium. RNAcentral's name for it is "bacterial SSU rRNA". It matches the Rfam family "Bacterial small subunit ribosomal RNA", at positions 30 to 472 of the family's 1533-position model. The record is from RNAcentral.
AUUGAACGCUGGCGGCAUGCCUUACACAUGCAAGUCGAACGGCAGCACGGGAGCAAUCCUGGUGGCGAGUGGCGAACGGGUGAGUAAUAUAUCGGAACGUGCCCAGUAGUGGGGGAUAGCCCGGCGAAAGCCGGAUUAAUACCGCAUGAGACCUGAGGGUGAAAGCGGGGGAUCGCAAGACCUCGCGCUACUGGAGCGGCCGAUAUCAGAUUAGGUAGUUGGUGAGGUAAAGGCUCACCAAGCCGACGAUCUGUAGCUGGUCUGAGAGGACGACCAGCCACACUGGGACUGAGACACGGCCCAGACUCCUACGGGAGGCAGCAGUGGGGAAUUUUGGACAAUGGGCGAAAGCCUGAUCCAGCAAUGCCGCGUGCAGGAAGAAGGCCUUCGGUUGUAAACUAGACUUUGUUACGGUAACGAAAAGGUUUACGUAUUAAUACUAGG